GACGAACGCUGGCGGCGUGCCUAAUACAUGCAAGUAGAACGCUGAAGCUUGGUGCUUGCACCGAGCGGAUGAGUUGCGAACGGGUGAGUAACGCGUAGGUAACCUGCCUGGUAGCGGGGGAUAACUAUUGGAAACGAUAGCUAAUACCGCAUAACAGUAGAUAUCGCAUGAUAGCUACUUGAAAGGUGCAAAUGCACCACUACCAGAUGGACCUGCGUUGUAUUAGCUAGUUGGUGAGGUAACGGCUCAACAAGGCAACGAUACAUAGCCGACCUGAGAGGGUGAUCGGCCACACUGGGACUGAGACACGGCCCAGACUCCUACGGGAGGCAGCAGUAGGGAAUCUUCGGCAAUGGACGGAAGUCUGACCGAGCAACGCCGCGUGAGUGAAGAAGGGUUUCGGAUCGUAAAGCUCUGUUGUAAGAGAAGAACGAGUGUGAGAGUGGAAAGUUCACACUGUGACGGUAUCUUACCAGAAAGGGACGGCUAACUACGUG
Molecule: ribosomal RNA, 497 nt
Filed under: uncultured bacterium
Lineage: Bacteria
Description: partial 16S ribosomal RNA
Rfam family: Bacterial small subunit ribosomal RNA
Source: RNAcentral